GAUGAACGCUGGCGGCGUGCCUAAUACAUGCAAGUCGAGCGAACGGACGAGAAGCUUGCUUCUCUGAUGUUAGCGGCGGACGGGUGAGUAACACGUGGAUAACCUACCUAUAAGACUGGGAUAACUUCGGGACACCGGAGCUAAUACCGGAUAAUAUUUUGAACCGCAUGAUUCAAAAGUGAAAGACGGUCUUGCUGUCACUUAUAGAUGGAUCCGCGCUGCAUUAGCUAGUUGGUAAGGUAACGGCUUACCAAGGCAACGAUGCAUAGCCGACCUGAGAGGGGGAUCGGCCACACGGGAACUUGGACACGGUCCAGACUCCUGCGGGAGGCAGCAGUAGGGAAUCUUCCGCAAUGGGCGAAAGCCUGACGGAGCAACGCCGCGUGAGUGAUGAAGGUCUUCGGAGCGUAAAACUCUGUUAUUAGGGAAGAACAUAUGUGUAAGUAACUGUGCACAGCUUGACGGUACCUAAUCAGAAAGCCACGGCUAACUACGUG
Molecule: ribosomal RNA, 497 nt
Filed under: uncultured bacterium
Lineage: Bacteria
Description: partial 16S ribosomal RNA
Rfam family: Bacterial small subunit ribosomal RNA
Source: RNAcentral